Molecule: ribosomal RNA, 279 nt
Filed under: uncultured bacterium
Lineage: Bacteria
Description: partial 16S ribosomal RNA
Rfam family: Bacterial small subunit ribosomal RNA
Source: RNAcentral
UGCCAGCCGCCGCGGUAAUACGGAGGGCGCGAGCGUUAUUCGGAAUCAUUGGGCGUAAAGCGCGUGUAGGCGGCUGGGCAAGUCGGAUGUGAAAGCCCGGGGCUCAACCCCGGAAUUGCAUUCGAAACUGCUCAGCUAGAGUCUCGGAGAGGAGGGCGGAAUUCCCGGUGUAGAGGUGAAAUUCGUAGAUAUCGGGAGGAACACCAGUGGCGAAGGCGGCCCUCUGGACGAUGACUGACGCUGAGACGCGAAAGCGUGGGGAGCAAACAGGAUUAGAUA